Molecule: ribosomal RNA, 918 nt
Filed under: uncultured bacterium
Lineage: Bacteria
Description: bacterial SSU rRNA
Rfam family: Bacterial small subunit ribosomal RNA
Source: RNAcentral
GAAUUCGAUUAGAGUUUGAUCCUGGCUCAGAACGAACUCUGGCGGCAGGCCUAACACAUGCAAGUCGAGCGCGCCUUCGGGUGAGCGGCGGACGGGUUAGUAACGCGUGGGAACGUGCCCUUCUCUACGGAAUAGCCUCUGGAAACGGAGAGUAAUACCGUAUACGCCCUUUGGGGGAAAGAUUUAUCGGAGAAGGAUCGGCCCGCGUUAGAUUAGGUAGUUGGUGGGGUAACGGCCUACCAAGCCUACGAUCUAUAGCUGGUUUUAGAGGAUGAUCAGCAACACUGGGACUGAGACACGGCCCAGACUCCUACGGGAGGCAGCAGUGGGGAAUCUUAGACAAUGGGGGCAACCCUGAUCUAGCCAUGCCGCGUGAGUGAUGAAGGCCUUAGGGUCGUAAAGCUCUUUCGCCUGUGAUGAUAAUGACAGUAGCAGGUAAAGAAACCCCGGCUAACUCCGUGCCAGCAGCCGCGGUAAUACGGAGGGGGUUAGCGUUGUUCGGAAUUACUGGGCGUAAAGCGCGCGUAGGCGGAUUAGAAAGUUGGGGGUGAAAUCCCGGGGCUCAACCUCGGAACUGCCUCCAAAACUGCUAGUCUAGAGUUCGAGAGAGGUGAGUGGAAUUCCGAGUGUAGAGGUGAAAUUCGUAGAUAUUCGGAGGAACACCAGUGGCGAAGGCGGCUCACUGGCUCGAUACUGACGCUGAGGUGCGAAAGUGUGGGGAGCAAACAGGAUUAGAUACCCUGGUAGUCCACACCGUAAACGAUGAAUGCCAGUCGUCGGGUAGUAUACUAUUCGGUGACACACCUAACGGAUUAAGCAUUCCGCCUGGGGGAGUACGGUCGCAAGAUUAAAACUCAAAGGAUUGACGGGGGCCCGCACAGCGGUGGAGCAUGUGGUUUAAUUUCGAAGCAACGCGCA